Molecule: ribosomal RNA, 1372 nt
Filed under: uncultured bacterium
Lineage: Bacteria
Description: bacterial SSU rRNA
Rfam family: Bacterial small subunit ribosomal RNA
Source: RNAcentral
GAUGAACGCUGGCGGCGUGCCUAAUACAUGCAAGUCGAGCGAACGGACGAGAAGCUUGCUUCUCUGAUGUUAGCGGCGGACGGGUGAGUAACACGUGGAUAACCUACCUAUAAGACUGGGAUAACUUCGGGAAACCGGAGCUAAUACCGGAUAAUAUUUUGAACCGCAUGGUUCAAAAGUGAAAGACGGUCUUGCUGUCACUUAUAGAUGGAUCCGCGCUGCAUUAGCUAGUUGGUAAGGUAACGGCUUACCAAGGCAACGAUGCAUAGCCGACCUGAGAGGGUGAUCGGCCACACUGGAACUGAGACACGGUCCAGACUCCUACGGGAGGCAGCAGUAGGGAAUCUUCCGCAAUGGGCGAAAGCCUGACGGAGCAACGCCGCGUGAGUGAUGAAGGUCUUCGGAUCGUAAAACUCUGUUAUUAGGGAAGAACAUAUGUGUAAGUAACUGUGCACAUCUUGACGGUACCUAAUCAGAAAGCCACGGCUAACUACGUGCCAGCAGCCGCGGUAAUACGUAGGUGGCAAGCGUUAUCCGGAAUUAUUGGGCGUAAAGCGCGCGUAGGCGGUUUUUUAAGUCUGAUGUGAAAGCCCACGGCUCAACCGUGGAGGGUCAUUGGAAACUGGAAAACUUGAGUGCAGAAGAGGAAAGUGGAAUUCCAUGUGUAGCGGUGAAAUGCGCAGAGAUAUGGAGGAACACCAGUGGCGAAGGCGACUUUCUGGUCUGUAACUGACGCUGAUGUGCGAAAGCGUGGGGAUCAAACAGGAUUAGAUACCCUGGUAGUCCACGCCGUAAACGAUGAGUGCUAAGUGUUAGGGGGUUUCCGCCCCUUAGUGCUGCAGCUAACGCAUUAAGCACUCCGCCUGGGGAGUACGACCGCAAGGUUGAAACUCAAAGGAAUUGACGGGGACCCGCACAAGCGGUGGAGCAUGUGGUUUAAUUCGAAGCAACGCGAAGAACCUUACCAAAUCUUGACAUCCUUUGACAACUCUAGAGAUAGAGCCUUCCCCUUCGGGGGACAAAGUGACAGGUGGUGCAUGGUUGUCGUCAGCUCGUGUCGUGAGAUGUUGGGUUAAGUCCCGCAACGAGCGCAGCCCUUAAGCUUAGUUGCCAUCAUUAAGUUGGGCACUCUAAGUUGACUGCCGGUGACAAACCGGAGGAAGGUGGGGAUGACGUCAAAUCAUCAUGCCCCUUAUGAUUUGGGCUACACACGUGCUACAAUGGACAAUACAAAGGGCAGCGAAACCGCGAGGUCAAGCAAAUCCCAUAAAGUUGUUCUCAGUUCGGAUUGUAGUCUGCAACUCGACUACAUGAAGCUGGAAUCGCUAGUAAUCGUAGAUCAGCAUGCUACGGUGAAUACGUUCCCGGGUCU